Long non-coding RNA from Macrobrachium nipponense, 3034 nucleotides. RefSeq lists it as uncharacterized. Lineage: Eukaryota; Metazoa; Arthropoda; Malacostraca; Decapoda; Palaemonidae. The record is from RefSeq and is a predicted model, not a curated record. The transcript has 3 exons.
GAAGACUCAGAAGGGGCAAGGCCGCAAGAUGGAGUGGCGAUCCAGUCUACUCUACUCCUUGGGAGCUGUACCUGGUCUGGUGUGAAUAAAUUGCUUAAAAACUCGACUUGAAGCGAAUUCUGGGGACAGCAGUUAAGGGCAUAGACUGGCGUUGCUGCUGAAUGUAUUUCAGAACUGAUGCUGCCAUAUGAUAGUUAACAGAACAGAAGUUGUAAUGGAAUAAUCCAAAUUGCAGAAUGGAUUUGGCCCUAGGAAAUGACCAAGCUUUUGAUAAGUAACAAAAUGUCUUUGUUAGAUGCUGCCGCAAAGUAAAGGUAAAGAGCAGAAUUCAUUCAACAAGAAGACUUAAGUUGUCAAGGAAUAUUGUUUUCUUGAAGUCUCCACAGAAAAGACAUGCAUAUAUUGUCUUAGGUUCUUGAAUUGUUCUAAUGUAUUUAAAAUGCACAAAUGUUGAAGAAACUUUAUGAAGAGACAAAUCAUUGAUUAACAAGAGCCUAAUUCCUUCGUGUAUCGGAAGUGCACAAAUGUUGAAGAAACUUAUGUAGAUACAAAUCACUGAUUUAUAAGAGUGUAAUUCCUUUGAUACACAUGUAAGAGUGUACAAAGAAGAUUUUUCAGGUGUUUCUUAGGUGAGGGAGAUCCCUCUUGAAUAGGUUUACCCUUCAGUCACAUUUCCUGAUAGGGAGUUGGCCAUCAUAGCUUUUGUAAUAAUGGUCUGAUCUUGGAGGUGGUACAUUGGCAUAAGAUUCUUUUACGAAUGAACUUCAGGAGAUAGAGGAUUUUUUUUUUUACUAGAGUUGAUUUCCAUAUGAGGAUUUCUGCUACCCUUGACAUAACUACCAUGUCGUUUAAGUUCAGAAUCAGGAGGAAAAUGGCAGCGUCUUCUGUGAUCUCUAGAUUAAAAAAAAUUUUCAUUCGGUUCAAGUAACGGAAUGGAAAUUAUUUAUACCAGUGAGUAAGGUACAAGUAUUUAACCCACCAGUGUAUGUUGGAGAGGUUUUGAUUUUAUUUUAUACUCUGAUAAGCAUGUAACCAAUUUUCCUUUCAGCACUGGAUGACCUAUUCGGCCACAGUAGUUGUCCUCGAGCCUAAAUUUUAUAUUCUAUUUAACUCCCUUCAGGCAAGUUGGGGUUUUGACCUCUCGUGUAUGAAGAAAUCCUCUGGGUAAAUCCCAGUGAUGUAGUAGAAGGCAAAUGAAGAUUGUAUAUUGGAUAUAUGACUGCCUAUCAAUCCUUAUUUUACAGUAAUUUAUUACUAUUGCUUUUAAGCAUAUGCCCCUGGUGGCAAUGUUUUGGAAGCAUAUUGCGUGAUUUCUUAACCUUAUUUAAAUGUGUGCUUUUUCCAUUUCAUUCACCUCCUAAUUUGUCGUCAUGUUGACGUGGUAAAAACUAGUUACGUUUCAGAACUCGUUUAGAAUAUGACUUGAAGUCUUCAAUCCAGGAGUCAUAUUUAACCAGACUAUUCAAUAGAAUACCUUAGAUGAUAUUAUACAAGCUUGAUCUCUGUUUGGAAGAACACUGGAUUUUUUCAGAAUUAUUGCUUCGCCAAAAGUGUUGUAAUUUAUAUAAGAAAUGGAAUAUGUUAAACUUUUUCACUUUUCCCAUUUGUUGGCGGGCCUGAUAUAUUCUCUCUCUCUCUCUCUCUCUCUCUCUCUCUCAUUGAUUAACAUACAAACUUGACCGAAUGCCUUUUUAGCCCAACUUGGUGUGUCUAUAGCUGAAUUCUGAUUUCCAAAUAAUUAUGGUGGUGGUUGUCUAAUGAUUAAGGUCACAUUGGUAUAUGGUGUAUUUAGUUUGUUCCAAGUAAGGUCACAUUCUCCUUCGAUUUGUGAAGAAUAUAUUUGUAGUAUAUGGUUAAAAUUAAAGAAUAAUAUGAUGUGAUAGGGAAGACCUUCACUCAAAGUGUCCUUUGCCUGAAGCUGUUUCUUCCUUGAAAAGAAAUCUUCCAUAACUGGAGACAAAGAAUUCCAAUUAUUUUCCACUUGCCACUCAGCAAAUGAAAAUUUGUAACCAAAGUUGCAACGGAGGUGGCAGGUCUUCAACUUCCAGCAUUGUUAGACUUGAGAGGGGACAGACUUUAAGUAAUCUUUCAGCUGCAUCUUUCUGAAAAAUAGUCUCAUUUCAUAGGGGUCUAUUAUGAGUCUACUAAGUAAAAAUCUCAUUGUAACCUUUACCUUUCAAGAUAAUCUUUUAUCUCAAUUUUGCUGAUUAUUUCGACUAGUACCCGUGAAUGUUGUCCACACGGGUGAGGCGAUGGAGAGGUGGGCGUACUCGACGAUGCCAGUAGUGUGUUCAGUGCGGUACGAUAAACAUGGUGCCUACCACAAAGAAGAAGAUAGUGUAGCACGAUAAUUGCUUUGUGUGAUGGCGCAAAGAAUGGCUCUGUAAAAGAAAUGUAUAUGGUUAACGUACGUCUGCCAGGGUCGAAGUUCAAGCCAUCGGGCACCACCAUGGUGAUUUUGCUACAGGACCCAUCUGGCGGUUUGCCCGUUAGAAGGGAAGUCCGCCGAUCAGGCCCGAUAGUGUGGACAGGCCUUAAGACUGGUUUCAGUCAAGCCUUUGUUUACUAUUCAUAGCAUGUGAAAAUUGCGGAAGUGAAGAUGGUGGAUCGUGUAACUCCUAGCGCUGUCGCUAGGAAUCUUGGAGCUAGUGCUAGUGCUUUGCUUUUGAGGUCUUUCGUUAGUUUGGGUGGAUGAUGCUAGCUAGCAUUGUGGUGGGUUUUGAGCACAAUACAAGCUCAACUCACAAUGUUGCUUGGUUUCUUCAAAAAUAGUCUAGGGGUUGGAAUGUGUUAACCUUCCUUGCUCGAUCAUGUCUUUCAGAUAUACUUGACGGCAUUGAGGUGACAAUUAACUUUCAUAAUCAAGAAUUCCAAGUAUGUGUUCCCCCUCCGUAUUCUUCUCCAUGUAUUGUCAUGAUAUACCCAUAGUUAACAUUUAAGAAGAGGGCAUUAAGAGUAAGGGAACACAACAGUAGUGAAGUAUGCAAGUUUAUACUGAAGACUUAGUUUAAAGUUCUAAUAAUGUUUAAAGUAU